RNAcentral lists this ribosomal RNA (953 nucleotides) under Salmonella enterica. Its description in RNAcentral is "partial 23S ribosomal RNA". It matches the Rfam family "Bacterial large subunit ribosomal RNA", at positions 161 to 1154 of the family's 2925-position model. Lineage: Bacteria; Pseudomonadati; Pseudomonadota; Gammaproteobacteria; Enterobacterales; Enterobacteriaceae. The record is from RNAcentral.
AAUCCAUAGGUUAAUGAGGCGAACCGGGGGAACUGAAACAUCUAAGUACCCCGAGGAAAAGAAAUCAACCGAGAUUCCCCCAGUAGCGGCGAGCGAACGGGGAGGAGCCCAGAGCCUGAAUCAGCAUGUGUGUUAGUGGAAGCGUCUGGAAAGGCGCGCGAUACAGGGUGACAGCCCCGUACACAAAAGCGCAUGUGCUGUGAGCUCGAUGAGUAGGGCGGGACACGUGGUAUCCUGUCUGAAUAUGGGGGGACCAUCCUCCAAGGCUAAAUACUCCUGACUGACCGAUAGUGAACCAGUACCGUGAGGGAAAGGCGAAAAGAACCCCGGCGAGGGGAGUGAAAAAGAACCUGAAACCGUGUACGUACAAGCAGUGGGAGCACCCUUUGGGUGUGACUGCGUACCUUUUGUAUAAUGGGUCAGCGACUUAUAUUCUGUAGCAAGGUUAACCGAAUAGGGGAGCCGGAGGGAAACCGAGUCUUAACCGGGCGUUAAGUUGCAGGGUAUAGACCCGAAACCCGGUGAUCUAGCCAUGGGCAGGUUGAAGGUUGGGUAACACUAACUGGAGGACCGAACCGACUAAUGUUGAAAAAUUAGCGGAUGACCUGUGGCUGGGGGUGAAAGGCCAAUCAAACCGGGAGAUAGCUGGUUCUCCCCGAAAGCUAUUUAGGUAGCGCCUCGUGAAUUCAUCUCCGGGGGUAGAGCACUGUUUCGGCUAGGGGGCCAUCCCGGCUUACCAACCCGAUGCAAACUGCGAAUACCGGAGAAUGUUAUCACGGGAGACACACGGCGGGUGCUAACGUCCGUCGUGAAGAGGGAAACAACCCAGACCGCCAGCUAAGGUCCCAAAGUCAUGGUUAAGUGGGAAACGAUGUGGGAAGGCCCAGACAGCCAGGAUGUUGGCUUAGAAGCAGCCAUCAUUUAAAGAAAGCGUAAUAGCUCACUGGUCGAGU